GGUCAAGUUAUUAAGGGUGCAGGGCGGAUGCCUUGGCACUAGGAGCCGAUGAAGGACGUGAUAAGCUGCGAUAAGCUUCGGGGAGUUGCACGUAAACUUUGAUCCGAAGAUUUCCGAAUGAGGAAACUCACUUAGAGUAAUGUCUAAGUAUCAUUAAGUGAAUACAUAGCUUAAUGAGGGGAACUCAGGGAACUGAAACAUCUAAGUACCUGAAGGAAGAGAAAGAAAUUCGAUUCCGUAAGUAGCGGCGAGCGAACGCGGAUUAGCCCAAACCAAUAAAGUUUUCUUUAUUGGGGUUGCGGACAUAUCAUAACGAAGAGGUAUCGUAAUUGAAGAGGUUUGGAAAGACCCACCACAGAAGGUAAUAGUCCUGUAUGUUAAACGAGAAGACUUUAGAUAUGAUCCAGAGUACCACGGGACACGUGAAACCCUGUGGGAAGCAGGAGGGACCACCCUCCAAGGCUAAAUACUACCUAGUGACCGAUAGCGUAUAGUACCGUGAGGGAAAGGUGAAAAGAACCCCGGGAGGGGAGUGAAAUAGAACCUGAAACCCUGCACUUACAAGCUGUGGAAGCACAUUUCUUGUGUGACCGCGUACUUUUUGUAGAACGGGCCAACGAGUUACGUUAAGUAGCAAGGUUAAGCACUUAAGGUGCGGAGCCGUAGCGAAAGCGAGUUUUAACUGAGCGUUCAGUUACUUGACGUAGACCCGAAACCGGGCGACCUACCCAUGAGCAGGAUGAAGCGAAAGUAAAAUUUCGUGGAGGUCCGAACCCACGAGCGUUGAAAAGCUCGGGGAUGACUUGUGGGUAGCGGUGAAAUUCCAAUCGAGCCCGGAGAUAGCUGGUUCUCCCCGAAAUAGCUUUAGGGCUAGCCUCAAGGUGAGAGAUACGGAGGUAGAGCACUGAAUGUCCUAGGGGGUAUUGCACCUACCGAAGACUAUCAAACUCCGAAUGCCGUCAUCUUAUACUUGGGAGUCAGACUGUGGGUGAUAAGAUUCAUAGUCGAAAGGGCAACAGCCCAGAUCGUCAGCUAAGGUCCCUAAAUGUAAGUUAAGUGGUAAAGGAUGUGGGAUUGCACAGACAACCAGGAUGUUGGCUUAGAAGCAGCCACUCAUUCAAAGAGUGCGUAAUAGCUCACUGGUCGAGUGAUCCUGCGCCGAAGAUUUCCGGGGCUAAAACUUACUACCGAAGCUACGGCAUCAGUAAUGAUGGGUAGGGGAGCUUCCCAUACGGGUUGAAGCAUGACCGUAAGGACAUGUGGACAGUAUGGGAGUGAGAAUGUUGGCAUGAGUAGCGAGAUGUGGGU
RNAcentral lists this ribosomal RNA (1308 nucleotides) under Clostridioides difficile. RNAcentral describes it as "partial 23S ribosomal RNA". It matches the Rfam family "Bacterial large subunit ribosomal RNA", at positions 1 to 1322 of the family's 2925-position model. The record is from RNAcentral. Lineage: Bacteria; Bacillati; Bacillota; Clostridia; Peptostreptococcales; Peptostreptococcaceae.